AAUAGAUACCCGGGUAGUCCACGCCGUAAACGAUGUCGACUUGGAGGUUGUUCCCUUGAGGAGUGGCUUCCGGAGCUAACGCGUUAAGUCGACCGCCUGGGGAGUACGGCCGCAAGGUUAAAACUCAAAUGAAUUGACGGGGGCCCGCACAAGCGGUGGAGCAUGUGGUUUAAUUCGAUGCAACGCGAAGAACCUUACCUGGUCUUGACAUCCACAGAAUUUUGCAGAGAUGCGAAAGUGCCUUCGGGAACUGUGAGACAGGUGCUGCAUGGCUGUCGUCAGCUCGUGUUGUGAAAUGUUGGGUUAAGUCCCGCAACGAGCGCAACCCUUAUCCUUUGUUGCCAGCGGUUAGGCCGGGAACUCAAAGGAGACUGCCAGUGAUAAACUGGAGGAAGGUGGGGAUGACGUCAAGUCAUCAUGGCCCUUACGACCAGGGCUACACACGUGCUACAAUGGCAUAUACAAAGAGAAGCGACCUCGCGAGAGCAAGCGGACCUCAUAAAGUAUGUCGUAGUCCGGAUUGGAGU
RNAcentral lists this ribosomal RNA (527 nucleotides) under uncultured bacterium. Its description in RNAcentral is "bacterial SSU rRNA". It matches the Rfam family "Bacterial small subunit ribosomal RNA", at positions 777 to 1304 of the family's 1533-position model. The record is from RNAcentral.